GACGAACGCUGGCGGCGUGCUUAACACAUGCAAGUCGAACGGAAAGGCCCUGCUUUUGUGGGGUGCUCGAGUGGCGCACGGGUGUGAAACACGUGAGUAACCUGCCCUUGUCUUUGGGAUAACUUCAGGAAACUGCGGCUCAUACCGGAUAGGAGCUCCUGCCGCAUGGUGGGGGUUAGAGAGUUUCGGCGGUUGGGGAUGGACUCGCGGCUUAUCAGCUUGUUGGUGGGGUAGUGGCUUACCAAGGCUUUGACGGGUAGCCGGCCUGAGAGGGUGACCGGCCACAUUGGGACUGAGAUACGGCCCAGACUCCUACGGGAGGCAGCAGUGGGGAAUAUUGCACAAUGGGCGCAAGCCUGAUGCAGCAACGCCGCGUGCGGGAUGACGGCCUUCGGGUUGUAAACCGCUUUCGCCUGUGACGAAGCGUGAGUGACGGUAAUGGGUAAAGAAGCACCGGCUAACUACGUG
Molecule: ribosomal RNA, 468 nt
Filed under: uncultured bacterium
Lineage: Bacteria
Description: partial 16S ribosomal RNA
Rfam family: Bacterial small subunit ribosomal RNA
Source: RNAcentral